CAGCAGGUGUGGAGGAGGAAUGGGUUCUGGCCACAGAAGUAGACGGAACAAGAGAUCAAGCAGUGGUCCCCAGAGAAACAGCACUAGAUCACAUACCACUUUCAUAACAGCUUUCAGGUAGAACACCAAACAUCUUAGAAAUAUGCGAAAAAGACAACAGAGCUGAUUCUAUGCUUGACUUAUCAGAUCACUAUAACCCAAGCUCUCAAGAUUUGAGAACAUCACAGUAGUAAAGCCGGAGUGUGACUAGAUGAUCAACCCUGGUGAUUAAGUUGAAGAUGGACUUGGAAGGAAAAGAAACAGCUCAGGACUCUGUCACCAGGUGAGAGAUAAUGGGAGACCGACAGAAAGGAAAUGAGGAAGGACAAGAGAUCCAGUGAUGAGUGCCAGAGAGUGAAGAGUUCCCAGGGUGGAGCUGGCAACGCAAGAGGUGCCCUAAAGCCAGGAAUAAACUGCAGGGGUCCCAGCUGCAGGCAGUCUGUCUCUCCCAGGUCUCUCUUCCUUCACCCAUUUUCAACCCAGUCUUCCCUCCAGAUCAUCAAGAGCCAAACGAUAGCAUAAGUCACCACUAUUACCCAAGUUGCCACUGUGGCUUCCCAGUCCAGUAGUUUUUUCUUCCCUUUUCAAAGGAUGACCAAAGCUCACUGCUAUUCAAGUAUGGUCUUAAGAACCACAGCACCACCUGAGAGCUUGUCAGAAAUGCAAAUUCUUGGGUUCUACCUGACAACUACUGAAUCAAUCUCUCUCGGUGGAUGUCAGUAAUCUGUGUUUUAAUUAAUCUCCAGAAGAUUCCUAAUGCAUGCCUAAGUUUGAGAAGCAGUAAUACAGUUAACUUCCCCAAAUCAAAGCUUUUAAUCCCAUAUCCAUUUUGCACCACUGAAUGGAAACUCUAUUCCAGGUACACUUGCAAGACUAACAUGUAAAUUUACAAAUGUGCCUCAGUAAGAAAAACUCAGGAAGCCAUCAUUACUCUUAAGGAAACCACAUACACUUGAAUGAAUCACUUAAAUAGAAGCUUUUCAAGAUGCAACUAUUCCAAGUCAUUCUCAGAAAUGACUAUAAUCAAAAGUCAGAAACCAAUUUUCAGAUGAGUCCCUUACAGAUUUCGCCCCCAAAUAAAGAAAACGAAAAACUUAAUGAAACACCAAGAG
This is a non-coding RNA of Odocoileus virginianus texanus, 1151 nucleotides long. The record is from RefSeq and is a predicted model, not a curated record. NCBI's taxonomy places the organism in Eukaryota, Metazoa, Chordata, Mammalia, Artiodactyla, Cervidae.